This 485-nucleotide ribosomal RNA is filed under the name uncultured bacterium. RNAcentral describes it as "bacterial SSU rRNA". It matches the Rfam family "Bacterial small subunit ribosomal RNA", at positions 29 to 507 of the family's 1533-position model. The record is from RNAcentral.
AACGAACGCUGGCGGCGUGUCUUAAGCAUGCAAGUCGUGCGGCAAGGGUAGCAAUACCCCUAGAGCGGCGGACUGGUGAGUAACGCGUGGGUGAUCUACCUUUGGGAUGGGGAUAGCCACUAGAAAUAGCGGGUAAUACCGAAUACGUUCGUCGGGCCUUGGCCUGACGAGGAAAGGCGCUUCGGCGCCACCCGAAGAUGAGCCCGCGUCCCAUUAGCUAGUUGGUGAGGUAAAGGCCCACCAAGGCGAUGAUGGGUAGGCGGCCUGAGAGGGUGUACGCCCACAUUGGGACUGAGAUACGGCCCAAACUCCUACGGGAGGCAGCAGCUAAGAAUAUUCCGCAAUGGACGAAAGUCUGACGGAGCGACGCCGCGUGGAUGAUGAAGGCCGAAAGGUUGUAAAGUCCUUUUGUUGGGAAGAAUAACCAUGGGAGUAAUGCCCGUGGGAUGACAUGAACCGACGAAUAAGCCCCGGCUAACUACGUG